UGGGGAAUUUUGGACAAUGGGCGAAAGCCUGAUCCAGCAAUGCCGCGUGUGUGAAGAAGGCCUUCGGGUUGUAAAGCACUUUUGUCCGGAAAGAAAUCCUUGGCUCUAAUACAGUCGGGGGAUGACGGUACCGGAAGAAUAAGCACCGGCUAACUACGUGCCAGCAGCCGCGGUAAUACGCAGGGUGCAAGCGUUAAUCGGAAUUACUGGGCGUAAAGCGUGCGCAGGCGGUUUGCUAAGACCGAUGUGAAAUCCCCGGGCUAACCUGGGAACUGCAUUGGUGACUGGCAGGCUAGAGUAUGGCAGAGGGGGGUAGAAUUCCACGUGUAGCAGUGAAAUGCGUAGAGAUGUGGAGGAAUACCGAUGGCGAAGGCAGCCCCCUGGGCCAAUACUGACGCUCAUGCACGAAAGCGUGGGGAGCAAACAGGAUUAGAUACCCUGGUAGUCCACGCCCUAAACGAUGUCAACUAGUUGUUGGGGAUUCAUUUCCUUAGUAACGUAGCUAACGCGUGAAGUUGACCGCCUGGGGAGUACGGUCGCAAGAUU
RNAcentral lists this ribosomal RNA (546 nucleotides) under uncultured bacterium. Its description in RNAcentral is "partial 16S ribosomal RNA". It matches the Rfam family "Bacterial small subunit ribosomal RNA", at positions 355 to 895 of the family's 1533-position model. The record is from RNAcentral.